GACGAACGCUGGCGGCGUGCCUAAUACAUGCAAGUAGAACGCUGAAGCUUGGUGCUUGCACCGAGCGGAUGAGUUGCGAACGGGUGAGUAACGCGUAGGUAACCUGCCUGGUAGCGGGGGAUAACUAUUGGAAACGAUAGCUAAUACCGCAUAAGAGUAGAUGUUGCAUGACAUUUGCUUAAAAGGUGCAAUUGCAUCACUACCAGAUGGACCUGCGUUGUAUUAGCUAGUCGGUGAGGUAACGGCUCACCAAGGCAACGAUACAUAGCCGACCUGAGAGGGUGAUCGGCCACACUGGGACUGAGACACGGCCCAGACUCCUACGGGAGGCAGCAGUAGGGAAUCUUCGGCAAUGGACGGAAGUCUGACCGAGCAACGCCGCGUGAGUGAAGAAGGUUUUCGGAUCGUAAAGCUCUGUUGUAAGAGAAGAACGAGUGUGAGAGUGGAAAGUUCACACUGUGACGGUAUCUUACCAGAAAGGGACGGCUAACUACGUG
This 497-nucleotide ribosomal RNA is filed under the name uncultured bacterium. RNAcentral describes it as "partial 16S ribosomal RNA". It matches the Rfam family "Bacterial small subunit ribosomal RNA", at positions 28 to 507 of the family's 1533-position model. The record is from RNAcentral.